Molecule: ribosomal RNA, 460 nt
Filed under: uncultured bacterium
Lineage: Bacteria
Description: partial 16S ribosomal RNA
Rfam family: Bacterial small subunit ribosomal RNA
Source: RNAcentral
CCUACGGGCGGCAGCAGUGAGGAAUAUUGGUCAAUGGACGAGAGUCUGAACCAGCCAAGUAGCGUGAAGGAUGACUGCCCUAUGGGUUGUAAACUUCUUUUAUAUGGGAAUAAAACAGGGUAUGCAUACACUCUUGUAUGUACCAUAUGAAUAAGGAUCGGCUAACUCCGUGCCAGCCGCCGUGGUAAUACGGAGGAUCCGAGAGUUAUCCGGAUGUAUUGGGUUUAAAGGGAGCGUAGGUGGAUUGUUAAGUCAGUUGCGAAAGUUUGCGGCUCAACCGUAAAAUUGCAGUUGAAACUGGCAGUCUUGAGUACAGUAGAGGUGGGCGGAAUUCGUGGUGUAGCGGUGAAAUGCUUAGAUAUCACGAAGAACUCCGAUUGCGAAGGCAGCUCACUGGACUGCAACUGACACUGAUGCUCGAAAGUGUGGGUAUCAAACAGGAUUAGAUACCCCAGUAGUC